AGUGAACGCUGGCGGUAGGCCUAACACAUGCAAGUCGAACGGCAGCACAGUAAGAGCUUGCUCUUACGGGUGGCGAGUGGCGGACGGGUGAGGAAUACAUCGGAAUCUACUUUUUCGUGGGGGAUAACGUAGGGAAACUUACGCUAAUACCGCAUACGACCUACGGGUGAAAGCAGGGGAUCUUCGGACCUUGCGCGAUUGAAUGAGCCGAUGUCGGAUUAGCUAGUUGGCGGGGUAAAGGCCCACCAAGGCGACGAUCCGUAGCUGGUCUGAGAGGAUGAUCAGCCACACUGAAACUGAGACACGGUCCAAACUCCAAGGGGAGGCAGCAGUGGGGAAUAUUGGACAAUGGGCGCAAGCCUGAUCCAGCCAGACCGCGUGGGUGAAGAAGGCCUUCGGGUUGUAAAGCCCUUUUGUUGGGAAAGAAAAGCAGCAGGUUAAUACCCCGCUGUUCUGACGGUACCAAAAGAAUAAGCACCGGCUAACUUCGU
RNAcentral lists this ribosomal RNA (491 nucleotides) under uncultured bacterium. RNAcentral's name for it is "partial 16S ribosomal RNA". It matches the Rfam family "Bacterial small subunit ribosomal RNA", at positions 29 to 506 of the family's 1533-position model. The record is from RNAcentral.